Molecule: ribosomal RNA, 635 nt
Filed under: Phomopsis sp.
Lineage: Eukaryota; Fungi; Ascomycota; Sordariomycetes; Diaporthales; Diaporthaceae
Description: bacterial SSU rRNA
Rfam family: Eukaryotic small subunit ribosomal RNA
Source: RNAcentral
UAUUUCAANUCUGGGAUAUCGAAUAGGACGNCGCGGUUCUAUUUUGUUGGUCUCUAGGACCGCCGUAGUGAUUGAUAGGGACAGUAGGGGGCAUCAGUAUUCGAUCGUCAGAGGUGAAAUUCUUGGAUCGAUUGAAGACUAACUACUGCGAAUGCAUUUGCCACGGAUGUUUUCAUUAAUCAGGAACGAAAGUUAGGGGAUCGAAAACGAUCAGAGCCGUUGUAGUCUUAACCAUAAACUAUGCCGACUAGGGAUCGGGCGGUGUUAUUUCUUGACCCGCUCGGCACCUUACNCGAAAGUAAAGUUAUAGGGUUCUGGGGGGAGCAUUGUCGCAAGGCUGAAACUUAGAGAAAUUGACGGAAGGUCACCCCAAGGGGUGGGCCGGGCGCCCUCAUUGUGCUCACCACGGGGAAACUCCCCAGGUCCAGACCCAACUAGGAAUGACAGACCCAGAGCUCAAAAUCGAUUUUGUGGGNUAAGGUGCAUAGCGUUCAAGAAAUAACACCGAUUGAUCCGUUGAAGGGAUAUAACGAGCGAGACCUUAACCUGGUAAAUAACCGUUUCCGAUCCCCUGACNUUCGUUCUUGAUAAAUGAAAACACCCCUCAAGCCGCUUUACCUGGAGGCAUCUUCAAU